GACAGAGGGUGCAAACGUUGUUCGGAAUUACUGGGCGUAAAGCGUGCGCAGGCGGCGCGUUAAGACAGGUGUGAAAGCCCCCGAGCUUAACUUGGGAAUUGCGCUUGUGACUGGCGUGCUGGAGUGUGGCAGAGGGAGGUGGAAUUCCACGUGUAGCAGUGAAAUGCGUAGAGAUGUGGAGGAACACCGAUGGCGAAGGCAGCCUCCUGGGCCAGCACUGACGCUCAUGCACGAAAGCGUGGGGAGCAAACAGG
Molecule: ribosomal RNA, 254 nt
Filed under: uncultured bacterium
Lineage: Bacteria
Description: partial 16S ribosomal RNA
Rfam family: Bacterial small subunit ribosomal RNA
Source: RNAcentral